AACCAAUUGAGGAGUCCCACAAUAGGACGAAACGGCCGUCCAGUGC
This is a non-coding RNA of Schistosoma haematobium, 46 nucleotides long. The record is from Rfam. Lineage: Eukaryota; Metazoa; Platyhelminthes; Trematoda; Strigeidida; Schistosomatidae.